Molecule: long non-coding RNA, 2017 nt
Filed under: Heterocephalus glaber (naked mole-rat)
Lineage: Eukaryota; Metazoa; Chordata; Mammalia; Rodentia; Bathyergidae
Description: lncRNA (ENSHGLG00000034015.1)
Source: RNAcentral
AGACUUCCCUCUAAAAUGCUCUCCCGCUCAGUGUGGAGCUCCGAGAGGCUAGCUGGAGUCUGUGUGCGACCUGGAAGGUUUGGAGCCAGCAUGAUUUAACUCAUUUGGUGGCAGCUGACCGGAGACUCUGGGGCCUAGCAGGAGAUGUUCAGGGGUGGACUUGCCGUGCCACGGAAUGAAAGCAAGCCUGGCCCCCUUCUCACUGAUUGAAAGACGGAGCCACUGACAGCCAUCUCCAGCAGCUUCCUUGCUGGCGGGCCUUCUCGGACCACCACCCUGAGGGCCUGUGAGCUCAUCCCUCAGGCUGCCCUGCUCUUUAGACAUUUUUGUACGUCCCACCCUCCUCCCCCUUGCUUGCAGCUUUUGCUGUUUGGGGCACACCCGUGAUAUGCAGUGCAGUUCGGCAUCACACUUCUCAUUCCCUGUGGGAGAUCAUGAAUGUUAUCCUCACCAAGUACUACCUGGGUUCCUCCAUUAACAGCAAUGAAAAUAAUUUGGGAGAACAUAAGCCCAUCGAAUGCUGUUGCUGUCCUAUGCAUUGCACCAAAUGAGGAGAAGCCCGGUGAGCUCCAUCGUUUGUCACACGGAAGCAUAACACAGUAGCGGGGUUGCCGGCAUCUGGAGUUGGUGGCAGUAGACGGUGUGGCAGCAACCAGGGCACUGAGACCUGGGACCAGGGCGCACAUUUCACGGGUCUCUGUGCAGGUGAUUUGGCUGGGUUUUCCUUUAGCUUGAGGGCUUCGGGAGGGAGCAGCUGCGUGCAUCUUCUCCACAGGGAACCCCGGGGACCUGUGCUUGGCACAGGUAACCUGCCUAAGGCUGACUGAGGAGGACCUAACUCCGGCCCUGUGACCUCCUGGGGUGGCAGCAGCUCGGAGGCGGCUCCUCCCUAAUUCACAGGGAAGUGCUGCAGGCCGAGGUUGCUUCCGGACUGCGGACUGCGCUUGAGAGGCUGGACGUGGAACAGUGUCCUCUCUGUCCUCCUGAGUGUUAGAAAUCCUUCGAGGCCCUAGUUUGAUUUAUCUGACAGCUGCACUCUGUCUUCACAUGGACUGUCAGGAGGCUUAGAAUUGGGUCGGAGCCACAAGUUUCCUGGCCUCUUUGAGUAUGGUUGUGACACCUUGCAAACUGAUGAAUUUGAGGACACAGCGCUGCCUCGACUGAGUCCGCCUACUUUGGGGGUUUUAGAAGUUCAGAUUCAUUCCACAAAUUUGACUGAAGAUGCUGCUGUGUGCCAGGCACAUGGCCAGGGUGACAGGCGGGGCUCCCAUGCUGAUUAGGGAGCAGGCACAGGCAUCUCUAGGUGAACAACUAAGCAAGGUGACUGCAGCUGGGACAAGUGCCAGACAAGAAGGAAGCACGAUGCUGGCCUGGAGUUGGGGUGUGUUGGGGGAGGGGGUUCUUCAGGCAGAGAGAGCAGGGAAGUCAGCGAACAGAGUUAAUUCACACGGUGCAAAUUAAGCCUUCAUCUUGGUGCCUGACACACAGUAAAGCCCUAACUCGCUAUCACUGCUACGGCUGUUAUUGGUGUCGUCAUCUCUCCGUUAUGUGUGCUUCUGCUGGGCGAAGGCAAGGGGAAUACAUUGCCGGAAUUCCAGGAAACGAUGAAGACUUUGCAAAGGUCCCAGCAGUGGAGGGGUGGAGAACUCCAUGCCCUAAGGUGUCUCCUCUCUUCCUUCUCUGGCGGUACCGAGGGGCUUGGUGGUCCAUCGUACGUGGGCACUCUCUGUCCAAACCAGCAUCUCCAAGCCUUAAUUUGCUGCAACGGCCCAAGAUUUAAACGUCUACAUUUUCCUGGUUGGUAUUGUAGUGCAAAUAUCGAUUCCUUUCUGUGCAAGUCCUGACUUCACGUGGGGGCAGUGACUAGUGAACGGCCCGUCCUCGCGGAGUAAAUAUGCCGUGUACAGCAGUCGUUGAACGAUUACCGUGCAGCCCAGCUGUCUUAACGCUAAGAGUGCCCGCUUUGCUUCUGGGAUGGUCACGUGUGUGAGUGGAGUGGCUUCAGAAACAGGGGCUU